This 928-nucleotide unclassified non-coding RNA is filed under the name Cyanobium sp. 11TAC9. RNAcentral's name for it is "bacterial SSU rRNA". It matches the Rfam family "Bacterial small subunit ribosomal RNA", at positions 480 to 1409 of the family's 1533-position model. Lineage: Bacteria; Bacillati; Cyanobacteriota; Cyanophyceae; Synechococcales; Prochlorococcaceae. The record is from RNAcentral.
UGAGGAAUAAGCCACGGCUAAUUCCGUGCCAGCAGCCGCGGUAAUACGGGAGUGGCAAGCGUUAUCCGGAAUUAUUGGGCGUAAAGCGUCCGCAGGCGGCCUUGUAAGUCUGUCGUUAAAGCGUGGAGCUUAACUCCAUUUCAGCGAUGGAAACUACAAGGCUUGAGUGUGGUAGGGGCAGAGGGAAUUCCCGGUGUAGCGGUGAAAUGCGUAGAUAUCGGGAAGAACACCAGUGGCGAAGGCGCUCUGCUGGGCCAUAACUGACGCUCAUGGACGAAAGCCAGGGGAGCGAAAGGGAUUAGAUACCCCUGUAGUCCUGGCCGUAAACGAUGAACACUAGGUGUCGGGGGAAUCGACCCCCUCGGUGUCGUAGCUAACGCGUUAAGUGUUCCGCCUGGGGAGUACGCACGCAAGUGUGAAACUCAAAGGAAUUGACGGGGCCCGCACAAGCGGUGGAGUAUGUGGUUUAAUUCGAUGCAACGCGAAGAACCUUACCAGGGUUUGACAUCCUGCGAAUCCCUUGGAAACGAGGGAGUGCCUUCGGGAGCGCAGAGACAGGUGGUGCAUGGCUGUCGUCAGCUCGUGUCGUGAGAUGUUGGGUUAAGUCCCGCAACGAGCGCAACCCACGUCUUUAGUUGCCAGCAUUCAGUUGGGCACUCUAGAGAGACCGCCGGUGAUAAACCGGAGGAAGGUGUGGAUGACGUCAAGUCAUCAUGCCCCUUACAUCCUGGGCUACACACGUACUACAAUGCUACGGACAAAGGGUUGCAAGCUCGCGAGAGUUAGCUAAUCCCAUAAACCGUGGCUCAGUUCAGAUCGUAGGCUGCAACUCGCCUACGUGAAGGAGGAAUCGCUAGUAAUCGCAGGUCAGCAUACUGCGGUGAAUACGUUCCCGGGCCUUGUACACACCGCCCGUCACACCAUGGAA